UGUUGCCUCCGGGGCGACCCUGCCUUCGGGCGGGGGCUCCGGGUGGACACUUCAAACUCUUGCGUAACUUUGCAGUCUGAGUAAACUUAAUUAAUAAAUUAAAACUUUUAACAACGGAUCUCUUGGUUCUGGCAUCGAUGAAGAACGCAGCGAAAUGCG
Molecule: ribosomal RNA, 159 nt
Filed under: Fusarium sp. 2S5D
Lineage: Eukaryota; Fungi; Ascomycota; Sordariomycetes; Hypocreales; Nectriaceae
Description: 5.8S ribosomal RNA
Rfam family: 5.8S ribosomal RNA (bases 103-159)
Source: RNAcentral